AUCCACUUAAAGAACCCGCAGUGGUUCAGUAUCUACUUCAUCGUCGUCUCUUUGCAAAUUCUAAGCUCCCGCUUCUUCCUCAUCAUCAUCAUCACCAUCACCAUGUCUGGCUGUGGAAACUCCGCAUGCUGCUGCGGCAGCGACUGCCAGUGCAGUCCCGGCAACUGCAGGUGCAGGACCAUGGAUGCGCCGAACUUCGGUGAUCUCCGCAAUCUAAAUCUUGAGGAUUGGCAGCUACAACGCGGCGUACAACUGGACUAUCAACAGCAAGAAUUUUUACUAGUGCCACAAGUGAAUUCUGUUCAGAGUCUUAUUUUCCUCACAGAAGAGAUGUGAAGAUGAAUAUUCUUGAUUUUCACUCUUUGGGGCAGAUAACGUGGUUUUCAGUUGUAUUUGAUGUGUGUGCAUCAUCUCUGGCUUAAGCAGAAGAUGUCUUCAAUAAGACGUGAAUUUGUGUGAUUUUAAAAAUAAACUUGUUGAUCUCUGCCGGAAUCUUUUGUGUU
Long non-coding RNA from Physcomitrium patens, 503 nucleotides. RefSeq lists it as uncharacterized. Lineage: Eukaryota; Viridiplantae; Streptophyta; Bryopsida; Funariales; Funariaceae. The record is from RefSeq and is a predicted model, not a curated record.